RNAcentral lists this long non-coding RNA (1489 nucleotides) under Homo sapiens (human). Its description in RNAcentral is "HSALNT0214928". Lineage: Eukaryota; Metazoa; Chordata; Mammalia; Primates; Hominidae. The record is from RNAcentral.
CUUCUGGUGUAAUAUGCAGUCUCCAGCUUUGCUCAGUUCCCGCCACUGACCUCAGUCUCCAAAGCAAGAAGAACAACCCACCAGCCCAUGGGCAGAAAUCCUGCCACCUCGGGGCUGGUUUACAAGGCCUGGUGUGCUCAUUCAUUCACCUGCCUGGCCCUGCAGGGCAGUGGUUUUGCUCUCCACUUUAGACUGGCUCUCCCAUUUUAUGGGCCAAGAGGGGUGGGAUGUUCCCAGCGCCACUCAGCCAUGCUGUCUGCCCCAUGUGGCCCUUCCUUUCCCUGGCAUCACUCCUCUGCCCCCACCUGCCCCUCCAUAUGCCAACCAUCAGCCCUGACCCUGUUUCAGGCCAGGGCUGUUCUCUCCAACCCACGACCGUCCUGGAUUCCUCUCACUCAGAGAAGCUGAGGUCAGGUGGGUGGGGCAAGGUGAGCCCCUGGCACCAGCUCUUCCCUGCAGGGUGUGCAGGACCUUUGUGGAAGCCACAGAUUUGGCUGUUUUAAGAACAAAGAGCUGGCUUUUUAAUUAUGCAGCCCAGACAGGCUCCCCGCAGGUGGGUGGAGAGGGAGCUCCCCAGGGCUGCCUAGCAGACGCCCUGAUUUCCACUCCUUGAAGUGGCCACUUGGAGAAGGAACCAGCAAGCAAUCAAGCAUGAAGGACAGAAAAACUCUCCAGGAAACCACGUGCCCCUGUCUAGUUCCAUGGAUUUCAUGGGGCAGGAGGAAGUUGGGAUGUAGGGGAAGUUCUGGCAGACAGGACGAGGAGGCAGACAGAUCACCUCUUCAGGACCGCAGGGGAUUGUCAGCAAGAGAAAAAGGGAGACAAAUUCAGGGGGGCGCUGGGAGGCCAGGUGGGCGUGUCUUCACCUUCCCUCUUACGGGUGAGGAUGUUGUAGAGAUGCCCAGUUGAAAAGGCCCCUGGGAGCCCUGGAAGAUGGUGGCGCAUAAACCUCGAAGAGAGGCAUCCACAGCCCUCCCUGAACCAGGUGAGUGUGCAGAGUUCAAAAGUCUCCAUGGGCGUUCAGGAACACGUACAGAGGCUGCAGUCAGGAGGAGGAGGCUGCUUCGAGCCUGGACAUUUGCAACUGGAGUGAUGGGGGCAGGGGUCACCCUUCGCCUAGAAAAGCCCAGGCACAGCCCCACAGUCACCUGUCCAGGAAGCAGCCCAGGCCAGCCCCUCUGCAGCAGAGACCUGUGAGAACCCAGAAGAUGCCGUGUGGCCUGAGCCCAGCUCCCCUGCACCAGGCUACAGAUAUCUGCUCAGGGGUGCCUGCGGGUGCUUCUUACAGGGAGCAGCCCAGGAAGAUGCCUCAAUGACUAAGGGUCUAUCUACAAGACCCAGAGUCACCCAAAAGACUCUGGUCAAACCAGAAGAGGCUGCAAUGCCAUCAAUCCACAAAUUCAGGGUUUUUAUUCCUCUCCCCCCUCACACCCAGUGAGGCAGGGACUCUGGACAGUUAUAUGAAAUAAAAUGCUAUUUUUUCCUUUAU